AAGGAUCAUUAAUGAUUCACUAUGGAGUUGUUGCUGGCCUCUAGGGGCAUGUGCACGCUUCACUAGUCUUUCAACCACCUGUGAACUUUUGAUAGAUCUGUGAAGUCGUCCUUCAAGUCGUCAGACUUGGUUUGCUGGGAUUUAAACGUCUCGGUGUGACAACGCAGUCUAUUUACUUAACACACCCCAAAUGUAUGUCUACGAAUGUCAUUUAAUGGGCCUUGUGCCUAUAAACCAUAAUACAACUUUCAACAACGGAUCUCUUGGCUCUCGCAUCGAUGAAGAACGCAGCGAAAUGCGAUAAGUAAUGUGAAUUGCAGAAUUCAGUGAAUCAUCGAAUCUUUGAACGCACCUUGCGCCCCUUGGUAUUCCGAGGGGCAUGCCUGUUUGAGUGUCAUUAAAUUCUCAAACUCACAUUUAUUUGUGAUGUUUGGAUUGUUGGGGGUUGCUGGCUGUAACAAGUCGGCUCCUCUUAAAUGCAUUAGCAGGACUUCUCAUUGCCUCUGCGCAUGAUGUGAUAAUUAUCACUCAUCAAUAGCACGCAUGAAUAGAGUCCAGCUCUCUAAUCGUCCGCAAGGACAAUUUGACAAUUUGACCUCAAAUCAGGUAGGACUACCCGCUGAACUUAA
This 629-nucleotide ribosomal RNA is filed under the name Pleurotus sapidus. RNAcentral describes it as "eukaryotic LSU rRNA". The stretch from base 244 to 397 matches the Rfam family "5.8S ribosomal RNA". Lineage: Eukaryota; Fungi; Basidiomycota; Agaricomycetes; Agaricales; Pleurotaceae. The record is from RNAcentral.